AUAUCUGCCAAGUGUUUUUUUUAAAUGAACGCUUUCCACCACUUUUCACACCCCACCACCCAAUCUUGGCUCGCCUGAAUGACAGCGCGGCAAAAACUGUUGAAAACGGGGAAAAAAUGAGAAUGACUGAACUGGAAUAGACGUGUCGGGGGGAGAGAAGAUGGAUUCCUGUGCUCUCGGUGGAAAGCUGUCAUAACAGUCCUCAAGCAGCUGUUCUGGAUGCAGCUAGGUGUCGCCGGAAAUGUGUCACACGCACCUCCAUUCCUCUGUGCAGGCCCAGGCAGGAGUCCCACCUAACUGUGUCACAUUUCCAUCUCGCUGUGGUGAAAGCCACCCGGCAGAGAGGAAGAGGAGCGCCGAGGAGCCGGGGCACAGGGGGGAGAUCCUUUAAUUCAGACACAGAGGGAAGCUUAAAGCCUCCAUCCGCUGCAGCCGCACGUUGCCCUCUCACAUCGCUCACUUCCAUCACAGCGACUCUAUUAGAUCCGCUGUGACAUGGAGUGACUGUGUAAUGAGCAAGAACAUGCACCCUCAGUGGCAGUAUAAUGCUCAGUAACUAUUGUGCAGUGUAACCGCUGCUUUUUCUUCUCAGCGUGGGGUUAAAAAAAAGGAGAAAAAGUAAAGCAUCAGAGUUAACAACGGCGAGCAGUCGAGGGAUCCAGAAAGUAAAAAAUCGCGUCGUCCCUGAUAAUACUGAGCCCUGCAGGAGGCGGUUUAAACUUUGGAAAUUAUAAAUGCCCACCAGACUCGAGCACCAUGUUCGCAUACCCUCAGCCUGAAAAGCUCAGCACCCCCAAGUUGUUUUGCUCCAGUAGCUUGUAAUGACAAUGUUGGCACUUUGAAAUAACCCACCUUUGGAAUCCUCUGCUGCCAAUAGCCACGCCACGCACUGGAACAUCAAGUCUACAGCCGCACUGAGGAACACUGCCCAGCAACCCCUCUGCCAGCCCAGCCAUCUUCGGGCCCAGCACUCCCACUGCCGGCCCACACUCAUGGCUUCUUUUUCACCUACUCCAGUCUGCGCUUGAGUUCUGUUCCCCGAGCCCUGACAGACGGUCAGAGUGCUGUGUGAGAGCAAGAGAGACAGCGGGGCAUGGAGCGCUGCACACAGCUGUACAAUGACGCAGCGGCUCAAAACACUAAGUAAGAGGUCACUAGGCCCAAUAUUAUGAUUCAAAAAUAUAUAGUAUCAUAUUGAAACUCUGGCGGGACAAAUACAGACAACCAUAUACACUUCAGUUAUAUCAUAGCAAACAUCCAGCAGAGCAACAGCAGCGUUCACUGUAAGGGCGUGUUUGUGUCGACACUGGAAAUUCUAUGCUCUGUUUUGAUCCCAACUCCUCAAAGAAAUAUCUGUUUAGCUCCUGAAUUCCCCACCUCCUUUACUUGUAACUGUUUGGUGCUGAGCAGUAGUGCACAGUGGCCUUUUGGAGCCUUUUCAGUGGAAACAGUUGCCGACUGCUGCAGACAACGAUGCCAUGUGACUGGGGAGCGCGAACCAAAGCAGUUACAUAGUGGCCAUAAACACGAAAGCAAUAAAUAAAAAGAUAAUGUCCUCUGUGAAGCUCAGGGAAAUGGAGAUGA
Long non-coding RNA from Scophthalmus maximus (turbot), 1584 nucleotides. RefSeq lists it as uncharacterized. NCBI's taxonomy places the organism in Eukaryota, Metazoa, Chordata, Actinopteri, Pleuronectiformes, Scophthalmidae. The transcript is spliced from 2 exons. The record is from RefSeq and is a predicted model, not a curated record.